UACGGGAGGCAGCAGUGAGGAAUAUUGGUCAAUGGGCGAGAGCCUGAACCAGCCAAGUAGCGUGCAGGAUGACGGCCCUAUGGGUUGUAAACUGCUUUUGAAGGGGAAUAAAAGGAUCUACGUGUAGAUUUUUGCAUGUACAUCGAUAGAUCGUCCAC
Molecule: ribosomal RNA, 158 nt
Filed under: uncultured Bacteroides sp.
Lineage: Bacteria; Pseudomonadati; Bacteroidota; Bacteroidia; Bacteroidales; Bacteroidaceae
Description: partial 16S ribosomal RNA
Rfam family: Bacterial small subunit ribosomal RNA
Source: RNAcentral